This 445-nucleotide ribosomal RNA is filed under the name uncultured bacterium. RNAcentral's name for it is "partial 16S ribosomal RNA". It matches the Rfam family "Bacterial small subunit ribosomal RNA", at positions 354 to 796 of the family's 1533-position model. The record is from RNAcentral.
GUAAGGAAUAUUGGUCAAUGGACGAAAGUCUGAACCAGCCAUGCCGCGUGAAGGAUGAAGGCCCUCUGGGUUGUAAACUUCUUUUAUCUGGGACGAAAAAAGGGUAUUCUUACUCACUUGACGGUACCAGAGGAAUAAGCACCGGCUAACUCCGUGCCAGCAGCCGCGGUAAUACGGAGGGUGCAAGCGUUAUCCGGAUUCACUGGGUUUAAAGGGUGCGUAGGUGGGUAUUUAAGUCAGUGGUGAAAUCUCCGAGCUUAACUCGGAAACUGCCAUUGAUACUAUUUACCUUUAAUGCCCUUGAGGUAAGCGGAAUAUGUCAUGUAGCGGUUAAAUGCUUAGAUAUGACAUAGAACACCAAUUGCGAAGGCAGCUUACUACGGGGUGAUUGACACUGAGGCACGAAAGCGUGGGGAGCAAACAGGAUUAGAUACCCCAGUAGUCC